GCGGGUGUGGCGGAAUAGACUUAGGAUCUAGUGUCUUUACGGCGUGGGGGUUCGAGUCCCUUCACCCGCA
This 70-nucleotide transfer RNA is filed under the name Bacillus spizizenii. RNAcentral describes it as "tRNA-OTHER". It matches the Rfam family "tRNA". From Rfam's summary of the family: Transfer RNA (tRNA) molecules are approximately 80 nucleotides in length. Their secondary structure includes four short double-helical elements and three loops (D, anti-codon, and T loops). The record is from RNAcentral. Lineage: Bacteria; Bacillati; Bacillota; Bacilli; Caryophanales; Bacillaceae.